UCAUACAAUGGAGGUGCGAGGGCUGUCGCUGAUCUGAACCCUCAGGUCGUGCACGCUCGAGCGUCCUCGCACAUCCAUCUCACCCCAAUGUGCACCACCGCGUGGGUCUCCCUUUGGCUUGUUCGAAGGGGGGCUUACGUUUUCACACAAACUUUUAUGCAGUGUAGAAUGUACCUUUGUUUUGCGAUCACGCAAUUAAUA
Molecule: unclassified non-coding RNA, 201 nt
Filed under: uncultured Russulaceae
Lineage: Eukaryota; Fungi; Basidiomycota; Agaricomycetes; Russulales; Russulaceae
Description: sequence contains ITS1
Source: RNAcentral